This is a non-coding RNA of Neolamprologus brichardi, 276 nucleotides long. Lineage: Eukaryota; Metazoa; Chordata; Actinopteri; Cichliformes; Cichlidae. The record is from RefSeq and is a predicted model, not a curated record.
CAGGAUUCAGGAGUGAAGCUUCUUAAUGCUGCUCUGGAGAGUCCACAUUGUACACUAGAAGUUCUGAGACUGAAUUUCUGUAACCUCUCAGGGAAAAGCUGUGAAGCUCUUUCCUUAGUUCUAAGCUGCCCAACCUCCUGUCUAAGAGAGCUGGACCUGAGUGACAAUGACCUUCAGGAUUCAGGAGCCAAAUUUCUUUCUGCAGAACUACAGAGUCUACAUUGUACUCUGAAAACUCUGAGUCUGUCAGGCUGUCUGAUCACAGAGGAAGGCUGU